UUAAGCGACUAAGCGUACACGGUGGAUGCCCUGGCAGUCAGAGGCGAUGAAGGACGUGCUAAUCUGCGAAAAGCGUCGGUAAGGUGAUAUGAACCGUUAUAACCGGCGAUGUCCGAAUGGGGAAACCCAGUGCAAUUCGUUGCACUAUCGUUAACUGAAUACAUAGGUUAACGAGGCGAACCGGGGGAACUGAAACAUCUAAGUACCCCGAGGAAAAGAAAUCAACCGAGAUUCCCCCAGUAGCGGCGAGCGAACGGGGAGCAGCCCAGAGUCUGAAUCAGCUUGUGUGUUAGUGGAACGGUCUGGAAAGUCCGACGGUACAGGGUGAUAGUCCCGUACACCAAAAUGCACAGGCUGUGAACUCGAAGAGUAGGGCGGGACACGUGGUAUCCUGUCUGAAUAUGGGGGGACCAUCCUCCAAGGCUAAAUACUCCUGACUGACCGAUAGUGAACCAGUACCGUGAGGGAAAGGCGAAAAGAACCCCGGCGAGGGGAGUGAAAAAGAACCUGAAACCGUGUACGUACAAGCAGUGGGAGCACCUUCGGGUGUGACUGCGUACCUUUUGUAUAAUGGGUCAGCGACUUAUAUUCUGUAGCAAGGUUAACCGUAUAGGGGAGCCGCAGGGAAACCGAGUCUUAACUGGGCGUUAAGUUGCAGGGUAUAGACCCGAAACCCGGUGAUUCAGCCAUGGGCAGGUUGAAGGUUGGGUAACACUAACUGGAGGACCGAACCGACUAAUGUUGAAAAAUUAGCGGAUGACUUGUGGCUGGGGGUGAAAGGCCAAUCAAACCGGGAGAUAGCUGGUUCUCCCGAAAGCUAUUUAGGUAGCGCCUCGUGAACUCAUCUUCGGGGGUAGAGCACUGUUUCGGCUAGGGGGUCAUCCCGACUUACCAACCCGAUGCAAACUACGAAUACCGAAGAAUGUUAUCACGGGAGACACACGGCGGGUGCUAACGUCCGUCGUGAAGAGGGAAACAACCCAGACCGCCAGCUAAGGUCCCAAAGUCAUGGUUAAGUGGGAAACGAUGUGGGAAGGCACAGACAGCCAGGAUGUUGGCUUAGAAGCAGCCAUCAUUUAAAGAAAGCGUAAUAGCUCACUGGUCGAGUCGGCCUGCGCGGAAGAUGUAACGGGCUAAACCAUGCACCGAAGCUGCGGCAGCGACACUAUGUGUUGUUGGGUAGGGAGCGUUCUGUAAGCCUGCGAAGGUGUGCUGUGAGGCAUGCUGGAGGUAUCAGAAGUGCGAAUGCUGACAUAAGUAACGAUAAAGCGGGUGAAAAGCCCGCUCGCCGGAAGACCAAGGGUUCCUGUCCAACGUUAAUCGGGGCAGGGUGAGUCGACCCCUAAGGCGAGGCCGAAAGGCGUAGUCGAUGGGAAACAGGUUAAUAUUCCUGUACUUGGUGUUACUGCGAAGGGGGGACGGAGAAGGCUAUGUUAGCCGGGCGACGGUUGUCCCGGUUUAAGCAUGUAGGCUGGUUGUCCAGGCAAAUCCGGAUAAUCAAGGCUGAGGUGUGAUGACGAGGCACUACGGUGCUGAAGUAACAAAUGCCCUGCUUCCAGGAAAAGCCUCUAAGCAUCAGGUAACAUCAAAUCGUACCCCAAACCGACACAGGUGGUCAGGUAGAGAAUACCAAGGCGCUUGAGAGAACUCGGGUGAAGGAACUAGGCAAAAUGGUGCCGUAACUUCGGGAGAAGGCACGCUGGUGUGUAGGUGAAGCCCCUGCGGGUGGAGCUGAGACCAGUCGAAGAUACCAGCUGGCUGCAACUGUUUAUUAAAAACACAGCACUGUGCAAACACGAAAGUGGACGUAUACGGUGUGACGCCUGCCCGGUGCCGGAAGGUUAAUUGAUGGGGUUAUCCGUAAGGAGAAGCUCUUGAUCGAAGCCCGGUAAACGGCGGCCGUAACUAUAACGGUCCUAAGGUAGCGAAAUUCCUUGUCGGGUAAGUUCCGACCUGCACGAAUGGCGUAAUGAUGGCUGCUGUCUCCACCCGAGACUCAGUGAAAUUGAACUCGCUGUGAAGAUGCAGUGUACCCGCGGCAAGACGGAAAGACCCCGUGAACCUUUACUAUAGCUUGACACUGAACAUUGAGCCUUGAUGUGUAGGAUAGGUGGGAGGCUUUGAAGCGUGGACGCCAGUCUGCGUGGAGCCAACCUUGAAAUACCACCCUUUAAUGUUUGAUGUUCUAACGUUGGCCCCUUACCGGGGUUGCGGACAGUGUCUGGUGGGUAGUUUGACUGGGGCGGUCUCCUCCCAAAGCGUAACGGAGGAGCACGAAGGUUAGCUAAUCCUGGUCGGACAUCAGGAGGUUAGUGCAAUGGCAUAAGCUAGCUUGACUGCGAGCGUGACGGCGCGAGCAGGUGCGAAAGCAGGUCAUAGUGAUCCGGUGGUUCUGAAUGGAAGGGCCAUCGCUCAACGGAUAAAAGGUACUCCGGGGAUAACAGGCUGAUACCGCCCAAGAGUUCAUAUCGACGGCGGUGUUUGGCACCUCGAUGUCGGCUCAUCACAUCCUGGGGCUGAAGUAGGUCCCAAGGGUAUGGCUGUUCGCCAUUUAAAGUGGUACGCGAGCUGGGUUUAGAACGUCGUGAGACAGUUCGGUCCCUAUCUGCCGUGGGCGCUGGAGAAUUGAGGGGGGCUGCUCCUAGUACGAGAGGACCGGAGUGGACGCAUCACUGGUGUUCGGGUUGUCAUGCCAAUGGCACUGCCCGGUAGCUAAAUGCGGAAGAGAUAAGUGCUGAAAGCAUCUAAGCACGAAACUUGCCCCGAGAUGAGUUCUCCCUGAGACUUUAAGUCUCCUGAAGGAACGUUGAAGACGACGACGUUGAUAGGCCGGGUGUGUAAGCGCAGCGAUGCGUUGAGCUAACCGGUACUAAUGAACCGUGAGGCUUAACCU
RNAcentral lists this ribosomal RNA (2893 nucleotides) under Klebsiella pneumoniae. RNAcentral describes it as "23S ribosomal RNA". It matches the Rfam family "Bacterial large subunit ribosomal RNA". Lineage: Bacteria; Pseudomonadati; Pseudomonadota; Gammaproteobacteria; Enterobacterales; Enterobacteriaceae. The record is from RNAcentral.